AAUAGGAGAGCACUCAUCUUGGGGUGGGUUUCCUACUUAGAUGCUUUCAGCAGUUAUCCGCUCCGCACUUGGCUUUACCGACGGUCCAAAGCCUUCGAUAAAUCUGUCGGUAAGUGACAUUAACGUUACCGACGGGCAUGAGCCUUCGGUAAAUCCGUCGGUAAUGUCCGUAAGUGAAAUAAUGGGCGGGAAAAUUCCCGUUCUUUUUACCGACGGCCAAAAGCCUGCGGUAAAUCCGUCAGUAAGUGACAGUGACAUUAUCGACGGAAAAGGGCCUUCGGUAAAUCCUUCGGUAAUUGACAUUGUAUUGACGGACUUGCCGAAAGCUUUUGUCCGUUGGUAAAAGAAAAUCAAAAUCCCUCGGUAAAGCCGUUGUUAAUGGAAUAUUUACCGACGGAUUCAUUUCCGUCAGUAAAAAUCCGUCGGUAAUAUUGAUAAUUUUUGUAGUCUAGGCAAUGGUUAAAUCCAGGUUUUCAUUUUUGUUGUCGGGGCCCUCUGCUAGGUAAUGGUCAUUUGGUAUCGUGACUUGAGUCAUUUUUUGUUCGUUUGCUUAUAUGAUUGAAACCCAGACGAAAUUAGUGUUUCUAUCUUUACUUAGCUUUUACUCAGAUAAUACGAAAAUAUUAAAUUUUCAUAUUAUCCGAUAACCUCUAAGUAAAAAGGAGCAGUUGUCAACACCCAAUUUCGUCCGGCUGACUAUGUAAUAGGACUUGGUUUUUAUUGUUGUCUUAUUUCAUUUUAUUUCUUUAAUUUUUUUUAUUAUUUUGUGUUAUAUUGUUACUCUUAAUUUUAUUUUACUAUUUUGUUUAGUCUUGUAAAAAAGAAAAAAAGAAAAGAAAAGAAAAAAAAAGAAGAAAAGAAAAUAAUUGCAAAAAAAAAAGAAAAAAAAGAAAAAGAAUAAAAGAGAAAAGGGAAAAGAAAAAUAACAAAAAAGGAAGAAGAAAAAACGAAAAAGAAAAACAAAAAAGGAAGGAGGAAAAAAAAGAAAAAAAGGGUGCACGUG
Molecule: long non-coding RNA, 1003 nt
Filed under: Vigna radiata
Lineage: Eukaryota; Viridiplantae; Streptophyta; Magnoliopsida; Fabales; Fabaceae
Description: long non-coding RNA (VRAD_LNC016744)
Source: RNAcentral